RNAcentral lists this ribosomal RNA (492 nucleotides) under uncultured bacterium. RNAcentral describes it as "partial 16S ribosomal RNA". It matches the Rfam family "Bacterial small subunit ribosomal RNA", at positions 29 to 507 of the family's 1533-position model. The record is from RNAcentral.
AGUGAACGCUGGCGGUAGGCCUAACACAUGCAAGUCGAACGGCGGCACAGUAAGAGCUUGCUCUUACGGGUGGCGAGUGGCGGACGGGUGAGGAAUACAUCGGAAUCUACUUUUUCGUGGGGGAUAACGUAGGGAAACGUACGCUAAUACCGCAUACGACCUACGGGUGAAAGCAGGGGAUCUUCGGACCUUGCGCGAUUGAAUGAGCCGAUGUCGGAUUAGCUAGUUGGCGGGGUAAAGGCCCACCAAGGCGACGAUCCGUAGCUGGUCUGAGAGGAUGAUCAGCCACACUGGAACUGAGACACGGUCCAGACUCCUACGGGAGGCAGCAGUGGGGAAUAUUGGACAAUGGGCGCAAGCCUGAUCCAGCCAUACCGCGUGGGUGAAGAAGGCCUUCGGGUUGUAAAGCCCUUUUGUUGGGAAAGAAAAGCAGCAGGUUAAUACCCCGCUGUUCUGACGGUACCCAAAGAAUAAGCACCGGCUAACUUCGUG